This 666-nucleotide ribosomal RNA is filed under the name uncultured bacterium. Its description in RNAcentral is "bacterial SSU rRNA". It matches the Rfam family "Bacterial small subunit ribosomal RNA", at positions 578 to 1244 of the family's 1533-position model. The record is from RNAcentral.
GUUGAAAAAGUUAGUGGUGAAAUCCCAGAGCUUAACUCUGGAACUGCCAUUAAAACUUUUCAGCUAGAGUAUGAUAGAGGAAAGCAGAAUUUCUAGUGUAGAGGUGAAAUUCGUAGAUAUUAGAAAGAAUACCAAUUGCGAAGGCAGCUUUCUGGAUCAUUACUGACACUGAGGAACGAAAGCAUGGGUAGCGAAGAGGAUUAGAUACCCUCGUAGUCCAUGCCGUAAACGAUGUGUGUUAGACGUUGGAAAUUUAUUUUCAGUGUCGCAGCGAAAGCGAUAAACACACCGCCUGGGGAGUACGACCGCAAGGUUAAAACUCAAAUGAAUUGACGGGGACCCGCACAAGUAGUGGAGCAUGUGGUUUAAUUCGAAGAUACGCGCAGAACCUUACCAACACUUGACAUGUUCGUCGCGACUCUAAGAGAUUAGAGUUUUCGGUUCGGCCGGACGAAACACAGGUGCUGCAUGGCUGUCGUCAGCUCGUGUCGUGAGAUGUUGGGUUAAGUCCCGCAACGAGCGCAACCCUCACUUUUAGUUGCCAUCAUUAAGUUGGGCACUCUGAAAGAACUGCCAGUGAUAAGCUGGAGGAAGGUGGGGAUGACGUCAAGUCCUCAUGGCCCUUACGUGUUGGGCUACACACGUGCUACAAUGGUAUCUACAACA